RNAcentral lists this unclassified non-coding RNA (246 nucleotides) under uncultured bacterium. RNAcentral's name for it is "contains 16S-23S intergenic spacer region". The record is from RNAcentral.
UCCGAGUUGACCCCGGCAGUCUCCUAUGAGUCCCCACCAUUACGUGCUGGCAACAUAGGACGAGGGUUACGCUCGUUGCGGGACUUAACCCAACAUCUCACGACACGAGCUGACGACAGCCAUGCAGCACCUAACCAUGAGUUCUCCGAAGAGCACCCCGACUUUUCAACCAGGUUCUCAUGUUUUCUAGCCUAGGUAAGGUUCUUCGCGUUGCGUCGAAUUAAACCACAUGCUCCGCCGCUUGUG